GGGGCUGACUUGGAUUUCGACAGAUUUCUUGUCGCACAGAUAGCAUGCCAAGCGCUGCUUGUAAAACAGCAACAAAAAUAACUGUAAACAACGCAGAUUACGCUCCAGCUUACGCUAAAGCUGCGUGAGUUAAUCUCCUUUUGGAGCUGGACUGAUUAGAAUUUCUAGCGUUUUAAUCACUCCAUAACCUUAAGCUAGACGCUUUUAAAAGGUGGUUCGCCUUUUAAACUAAGAAACAAGAACUCUUGAAACUAUCUCAAGGUUUUAGAAAGUUGGACCAGAGCUAGUUUUAAGGCUAAAAAGCUAACCAAUUUUCUAAGCAUUGUAGAAGUUUGUGUUUAGGACAAGAUUUUUGGACUGGGGUUCGAUUCCCCACAGCUCCACCA
This 386-nucleotide transfer-messenger RNA is filed under the name Helicobacter pylori. It matches the Rfam family "transfer-messenger RNA". Rfam says of the family: Bacterial tmRNA, also known as 10Sa RNA or SsrA, is named for its dual tRNA and mRNA-like properties. Its role is to liberate the mRNA from a stalled ribosome. The record is from RNAcentral. Lineage: Bacteria; Pseudomonadati; Campylobacterota; Epsilonproteobacteria; Campylobacterales; Helicobacteraceae. RNAcentral also lists the same sequence under 1 other name.